GUCUACUUGGAGGUUGUGGCCUUGAGCCGUGGCUUUCGGAGCUAACGCGUUAAGUAGACCGCCUGGGGAGUACGGUCGCAAGAUUAAAACUCAAAUGAAUUGACGGGGGCCCGCACAAGCGGUGGAGCAUGUGGUUUAAUUCGAUGCAACGCGAAGAACCUUACCUACUCUUGACAUCCAGAGAAGCCAGCGGAGACGCAGGUGUGCCUUCGGGAACUCUGAGACAGGUGCUGCAUGGCUGUCGUCAGCUCGUGUUGUGAAAUGUUGGGUUAAGUCCCGCAACGAGCGCAACCCUUAUCCUUGUUUGCCAGCGAGUAAUGUCGGGAACUCCAGGGAGACUGCCGGUGAUAAACCGGAGGAAGGUGGGGACGACGUCAAGUCAUCAUGGCCCUUACGAGUAGGGCUACACACGUGCUACAAUGGCGCAUACAGAGGGCGGCAAACUUGCGAGAGUGAGCGAAUCCCAAAAAGUGCGUCGUAGUCCGGAUUGGAGUCUGCAACUCGACUCCAUGAAGUCGGAAUCGCUAGUAAUCGUAGAUCAGAAUGCUACGGUGAAUACGUUCCCGGGCCUUGUACACACCGCCCGUCACACCAUGGGAGUGGGCUGCAAAAGAAGUGGGUAGUUUAACCUUCGGGAGGACGCUCACCACUUUGUGGUUCAUGACUGGGGUGAAGUCGUAACAAGGUAGCCCUAGGGGAACCUGGGGCUGGAUCACCUCCUUAUACGAAGAUA
RNAcentral lists this ribosomal RNA (733 nucleotides) under Vibrio sp. HI00D65. Its description in RNAcentral is "bacterial SSU rRNA". It matches the Rfam family "Bacterial small subunit ribosomal RNA", at positions 811 to 1533 of the family's 1533-position model. The record is from RNAcentral. Lineage: Bacteria; Pseudomonadati; Pseudomonadota; Gammaproteobacteria; Vibrionales; Vibrionaceae.